UACGUAGGGUGCGAGCGUUGUCCGGAAUUAUUGGGCGUAAAGAGCUCGUAGGCGGUUUGUCGCGUCGACUGUGAAAACCUGGGGCUUAACUCUGGGCCUGCAGUCGAUACGGGCAGACUUGAGUUCGGUAGGGGAGACUGGAAUUCCUGGUGUAGCGGUGAAGUGCGCAGAUAUCAGGAGGAACACCGGUGGCGAAGGCGGGUCUCUGGGCCGAUACUGACGCUGAGGAGCGAAAGCGUGGGGAGCGAACAGG
This 253-nucleotide ribosomal RNA is filed under the name uncultured bacterium. RNAcentral's name for it is "partial 16S ribosomal RNA". It matches the Rfam family "Bacterial small subunit ribosomal RNA", at positions 524 to 776 of the family's 1533-position model. The record is from RNAcentral.